GAUGAACGCUGGCGGCGUGCCUAAUACAUGCAAGUCGAGCGAACGGACGAGAAGCUUGCUUCUCUGAUGUUAGCGGCGGACGGGUGAGUAACACGUGGAUAACCUACCUAUAAGACUGGGAUAACUUCGGGAAACCGGGGCUAAUACCGGAUAAUAUUUUGAACCGCAUGGUUCAAAAGUAAAAGACGGUCUUGCUGUCACUUAUAGAUGGAUCCGCGCUGCAUUAGCUAGUUGGUAAGGUAACGGCUUACCAAGGCAACGAUGCAUAGCCGACCUGAGAGGGUGAUCGGCCACACUGGAACUGAGACACGGUCCAGACUCCUACGGGAGGCAGCAGUAGGGAAUCUUCCGCAAAGGGCGAAAGCCUGACGGAGCAACGCCGCGUGAGUGAUGAAGGUCUUCGGAUCGUAAAACCCUGUUAUUAGGGAAGAACAUAUGUGUAAGUAACUGUGCACAUCUUGACGGUACCUAAUCAGAAAGCCACGGCUAACUACGUG
Molecule: ribosomal RNA, 497 nt
Filed under: uncultured bacterium
Lineage: Bacteria
Description: partial 16S ribosomal RNA
Rfam family: Bacterial small subunit ribosomal RNA
Source: RNAcentral